CCCUUAGAUGUUCUGGGCCGCACGCGCGCUACACUGAUGCAUUCAACAAGCCUAGCCUUGACCGAGAGGUCCGGGUAAUCUUUGAAACUGCAUCGUGAUGGGGCUAGAUUAUUGCAAUUAUUAAUCUUCAACGAGGAAUGCCUAGUAAGCGUGAUUCAUCAAAUCGCGUUGAUUACGUCCCUGCCCUUUGUACACACCGCCCGUCGCUCCUACCGAUUGAAUGUGUUGGUGAGGAGCUCGGAUUGGCAGCAGUUGGUGGUUCGCCACCGGCUAUUGCUGAGAAGUCCGCCAAACCGCCCCAUUUAGAGGAAGGAGAAGUCGUAACA
This 326-nucleotide ribosomal RNA is filed under the name uncultured eukaryote. RNAcentral describes it as "partial 18S ribosomal RNA". It matches the Rfam family "Eukaryotic small subunit ribosomal RNA", at positions 1470 to 1796 of the family's 1831-position model. The record is from RNAcentral.